RNAcentral lists this ribosomal RNA (1961 nucleotides) under Escherichia coli. RNAcentral describes it as "bacterial LSU rRNA". It matches the Rfam family "Bacterial large subunit ribosomal RNA", at positions 905 to 2843 of the family's 2925-position model. The record is from RNAcentral. Lineage: Bacteria; Pseudomonadati; Pseudomonadota; Gammaproteobacteria; Enterobacterales; Enterobacteriaceae. RNAcentral also lists the same sequence under 2 other names.
GAGCACUGUUUCGGCAAGGGGGUCAUCCCGACUUACCAACCCGAUGCAAACUGCGAAUACCGGAGAAUGUUAUCACGGGAGACACACGGCGGGUGCUAACGUCCGUCGUGAAGAGGGAAACAACCCAGACCGCCAGCUAAGGUCCCAAAGUCAUGGUUAAGUGGGAAACGAUGUGGGAAGGCCCAGACAGCCAGGAUGUUGGCUUAGAAGCAGCCAUCAUUUAAAGAAAGCGUAAUAGCUCACUGGUCGAGUCGGCCUGCGCGGAAGAUGUAACGGGGCUAAACCAUGCACCGAAGCUGCGGCAGCGACGCUGAUGCGUUGUUGGGUAGGGGAGCGUUCUGUAAGCCUGUGAAGGUGUGCUGUGAGGCAUGCUGGAGGUAUCAGAAGUGCGAAUGCUGACAUAAGUAACGAUAAAGCGGGUGAAAAGCCCGCUCGCCGGAAGACCAAGGGUUCCUGUCCAACGUUAAUCGGGGCAGGGUGAGUCGACCCCUAAGGCGAGGCCGAAAGGCGUAGUCGAUGGGAAACAGGUUAAUAUUCCUGUACUUGGUGUUACUGCGAAGGGGGGACGGAGAAGGCUAUGUUGGCCGGGCGACGGUUGUCCCGGUUUAAGCGUGUAGGCUGGUUUUCCAGGCAAAUCCGGAAAACUAAGGCUGAGGCGUGAUGACGAGGCACUACGGUGCUGAAGCAACAAAUGCCCUGCUUCCAGGAAAAGCCUCUAAGCAUCAGGUAACAUCAAAUCGUACCCCAAACCGACACAGGUGGUCAGGUAGAGAAUACCAAGGCGCUUGAGAGAACUCGGGUGAAGGAACUAGGCAAAAUGGUGCCGUAACUUCGGGAGAAGGCACGCUGAUAUGUAGGUGAAGUCCCUCGCGGAUGGAGCUGAAAUCAGUCGAAGAUACCAGCUGGCUGCAACUGUUUAUUAAAAACACAGCACUGUGCAAACACGAAAGUGGACGUAUACGGUGUGACGCCUGCCCGGUGCCGGAAGGUUAAUUGAUGGGGUCAGCGCAAGCGAAGCUCUUGAUCGAAGCCCCGGUAAACGGCGGCCGUAACUAUAACGGUCCUAAGGUAGCGAAAUUCCUUGUCGGGUAAGUUCCGACCUGCACGAAUGGCGUAAUGAUGGCCAGGCUGUCUCCACCCGAGACUCAGUGAAAUUGAACUCGCUGUGAAGAUGCAGUGUACCCGCGGCAAGACGGAAAGACCCCGUGAACCUUUACUAUAGCUUGACACUGAACAUUGAGCCUUGAUGUGUAGGAUAGGUGGGAGGCUUUGAAGUGUGGACGCCAGUCUGCAUGGAGCCGACCUUGAAAUACCACCCUUUAAUGUUUGAUGUUCUAACGUUGACCCGUAAUCCGGGUUGCGGACAGUGUCUGGUGGGUAGUUUGACUGGGGCGGUCUCCUCCUAAAGAGUAACGGAGGAGCACGAAGGUUGGCUAAUCCUGGUCGGACAUCAGGAGGUUAGUGCAAUGGCAUAAGCCAGCUUGACUGCGAGCGUGACGGCGCGAGCAGGUGCGAAAGCAGGUCAUAGUGAUCCGGUGGUUCUGAAUGGAAGGGCCAUCGCUCAACGGAUAAAAGGUACUCCGGGGAUAACAGGCUGAUACCGCCCAAGAGUUCAUAUCGACGGCGGUGUUUGGCACCUCGAUGUCGGCUCAUCACAUCCUGGGGCUGAAGUAGGUCCCAAGGGUAUGGCUGUUCGCCAUUUAAAGUGGUACGCGAGCUGGGUUUAGAACGUCGUGAGACAGUUCGGUCCCUAUCUGCCGUGGGCGCUGGAGAACUGAGGGGGGCUGCUCCUAGUACGAGAGGACCGGAGUGGACGCAUCACUGGUGUUCGGGUUGUCAUGCCAAUGGCACUGCCCGGUAGCUAAAUGCGGAAGAGAUAAGUGCUGAAAGCAUCUAAGCACGAAACUUGCCCCGAGAUGAGUUCUCCCUGACUCCUUGAGAGUCCUGAAGGAACGUUGAAG